Drosophila yakuba is the source of this 3462-nucleotide long non-coding RNA. RefSeq lists it as uncharacterized. Lineage: Eukaryota; Metazoa; Arthropoda; Insecta; Diptera; Drosophilidae. The record is from RefSeq and is a predicted model, not a curated record. The transcript has 2 exons.
UUGAGCGCUGGAAUACUUGUGUAAUUGUUGGUGGUCUUUUGGGUACUUGAACGUUAUGUUUAUUAUGACAAAGUGUGACAAUGUUUUGAAGAUAAGUUGUACCCAUUAAUUUAGUAUAUUUAUUGGGUAGAUAUGCUACAAUCCUUUUCUACGAGCAGUGGCUCUUAUCGCUUCACGCGACUACCAUACGGAUUAAAAAUAGCUCCAAAUUCCUUUCAACGAAUGAUGACAAUGGCAUUUACAGCUCUGGAACCAUCUCAAGCAUUUCUGUACAUGAAUGACUUAAUUGUCAUAGGCUGUUCUGAAAAACACAUGGCCAAGAAUCUUAUAAAUGUUUUUGAACUAUGCAGAAAAAACAACCUCAAUAAGUGCUCAUUUUUCAUGAGUGAAGUCACUUCCCGUCACAUAACAAGAUUAUGUAAAAAAGUAUAAAGUUCGAAUGGACAGCUGAUUGCCAGCAUGCCUUCGAACACCUUAAAAAAGAACUAAUAAAUCCAACAUUGCUGAAAUACCCCUUUACUUUACUUUAGCAAAGAGUUCUGUAUCAUAACUGAUGCUAGGAAAGAGGCAUGUGGAGCGGUAUUGAAAGCGGUAUUGACCCAGAACUAUAAUGGUAUCCACUUGCCAGUAGCUUUACAUCCCGUAGCUUCACUAAGGGUGAGAGCAACAAGUCAACAACAGAGCAAGAGUUGUCAGCAAUACAUUGGGCGAUAAAUCAUUUCAAACCAUAUAUAUAUGGUAGACACUUCACCGUCAAAACAGAUCACAGACCAUUAACAUACUAGUUCUCGAUGGUUAAUCCAAGUUCAAAACUGACCAGAAAUGAGGCUUGAUUUAGAAGAAUAUGAACUUACUGUGGAAUAUCUUAAGGGAAAAGACUAUUAUGUAGCAGAUGCGUAAUCAAGAAUAACCAUCGACCAACAAAAAAUAUAUCCAAACAAGUACUUAAAGUCACUACAAGAAAUCAAAGUAGACAGAAAUCCUGCACAGGAAAAGGAAAUAAAAAUGAUAAAGUAGAAUUGGCUAAGCAAACUACUCAAGAAGCUUCUAAGCCCAAAGUAUACGCAGUCAUUAAUAAUGACGAAAUACGCAAAGUAGUAACAUUGCAUGUAAAUAAUAUAAUAUGUUUUUUUAAACAUGGAAGAAAAUUUACUGCAAGAUACAAUGUUGAAGAUUUGUAUAUUAAUGGACCUCUCGACUUAGCUCAAUUUUUCCAAAGGCUUGAAAAGCAGGCCGGUAUGCAUAAUAUCAAUCAACUUAAAAUGGCACCGUGGGAAAAUAUCUUUGAUAACAUUUCAAUAGAUAAAUUUAAGAAAAUGGUCAAUGAAACAUUAAAACUAUUAAGAGUUGCGCUACUCAACUCGGUGACCUUAGUGAAUACAAAGAAAGUAAAAGAAGCAAUCCUGUCUAAACACCAUGACGAUACAAUACAGUAGCAAAAGCAAUAUUUUUAUACUAAAGUUCGGUCCAAUGAAGACGUUCAUUUCGGUCAUGGGAACUGAAUACAUAAAUUUAAUAAUCAAAGAUUUAUUGUAAUGUCCCCAUAUAUCAAGAUUUUUUUUUUUAAAUCCCCAAAAUUUGCGCCUUAGUUAGUAGCGAUAAUAAUUAUCGGAACCUUAUCUGGCAACGUCAUCUAAAUGGCAAUUGACCAGCUGGUGAAUAUUGAUUCGGAGAAGGGUUCUUCGGAUCCCCAGUAUCUAGCUUCGAUCUUUUCUUACGACGAUCGUCAAGCUGAUAAGUUCAGUCCCAGCAGAGAUAAGACCUAGCAAAAAGGCAAAUCAAGAAAAAAGAACUGGAGAGUACAAUCACAUGUGCUCCCAACUUUAAUCCAGCGUUUAUUUCGGCAUCAAGAUUAAAAGGCAACAAAGAAAAGGCAAUUAAUAAAUGCCCGUGGAUUGCCGUGUCGGCAAGGUCACGCGUGUUAUUUUUAUCGUCGACUACACAGCGAGAAAUCGCCAGGUCGAUCGAUUCCACUAAAGAAGAAAAUCACUGGGUAAAUAUCCAAGUAAUUCUGGGAAAAAAUUGCCCGAAAUGAAUGAGUUAUAUUCCCGCAGUUACCCGAGGAAACGAAGCUGAAUUUUAAACUCUUCCACGCCGACCCAAAAGUUCGGCUGGAGUCAGCUACCUCUGCUGGGAGACAAUUUGUUCGGAGGUCGCAGGAAAAAAUCUACAGAAAACCUACAUAGAAAUAAAAACCCUUACAAAACUAGUGUAAAACAAAAACAGAUUAAAAUACCUUCAGUGCCAAAAAACCCAAAAAUUAAUUGAAGUUAAACAUAUUACAUUGUACAUAUUACAUAAAACAAAAGCAUUUGAUAGUGAUGUGAGUGUGUGCAGGUGAUAAGUAAAAUAAGAGAAAAAAAGAAAUACAAGCUGGCCAACCCAAUGUAAAAUCGUACACUGAAAGAAAAACAAAGUUUCGUUGCCAAUGCCAAAAAUAAAAUACUUCAAAUCAAAAAUAAAAAUAAUUCAUCAUGACAAUAUAAACAAAAAAUGAAAUGAAAAAAAUGCAUAAAAAAAAUUGAAAUAAAUAAUCCUAUAUUUUAAUUAUCACUUAUGAAAAAAACUAAAUAGUGCAUCUAUAGUUUGAAGUUUUCUUACUAAUAACCCCCAACACCGCAUCGACAAGAAGGCCUUCUUCGAGAACCAACAGUGGGUGAGUAAAAAUAAAAAAAUUAAAUUUUAUAUAUAUAACCAAAACAAAACUAAAACUUCAAGUUACUAAAUUGCAAUUAUGUAGUUCAGUGUAGAGCCUGGCUACCUGAGUUAAGGCUUAUCAACCGCUCGCGCCGAUUAAUUUGUCUAUUUUGUAGAUUACUCUUUUGAUUCUUAUCCAAAUUCUAACAUGGUAAUUUAAAGCACUAUAAUGUAACGUAAACAUUAACGACUACACUGAAAGAAAUUAAUAUUGACAUGAUUGGCACCUACAUAUUUUCUCCCUUUUAGCAAUAGAAAGCUUUUUCUUUCAAUGAUGCGAUUAAAUAAAUAAACUCCAUAGAAAAAAAGAAAAACACUUAAUAGUUGUUUAGGAUUAAUAAAUACUUAACAAUUACAACAUAAAAAAAAAAAACCCACACCACUUCAAUGUUCUUUUGUUGGUAACAAACCAGAAAAAGAAAAGCUUGGCACUAUAAAAAUAAAACAAAAAAAUAAAUCAAUAAAAAAAAUAAAAAUGAAUAGAGAUUUUUGCGAAAAAUAAAUAAAGAUAAAUAAUGUAAAAUAAGGAGCAAAACUUAGAAAAAUACGGAAUCAGACUUAGGGAAUUAAGAGUAUGGAAUUAUAAGAUUAAAACUAGUAAGGCUAAUUAGUUAGAAAUAUGUACACUGCAAGAAAUGCACUCAACAAGAAAGAAGAAAUUGUUUAUUGAAAAUUAAAAUUGUUGUAAAGAUGAAACUCUAAGUUCUUAUUCAUGGCAGGGGAGCAUAAUUAGAUGAUGCAUAUUUAAUUACAUUUGGGGUCUUC